This 762-nucleotide ribosomal RNA is filed under the name Streptomyces sp. RNAcentral's name for it is "bacterial SSU rRNA". The record is from RNAcentral. Lineage: Bacteria; Bacillati; Actinomycetota; Actinomycetes; Kitasatosporales; Streptomycetaceae.
GAUGAACCAYUUCGGUGGGGAUUAGUGGCGAACGGGUGAGUAACRCGUGGGCAAUCUGCCCUUCACUCUGGGACAAGCCCUGGAAACGGGGUCUAAUACCGGAUAACACUGCGGAUCGCAUGGUCUGCGGUUAAAAGCUCCGGCGGUGAAGGAUGAGCCCGCGGCCUAUCAGCUUGUUGGUGAGGUAGUGGCUCACCAAGGCGACGACGGGUAGCCGGCCUGAGAGGGCGACCGGCCACACUGGGACUGAGACACGGCCCAGACUCCUACGGGAGGCAGCAGUGGGGAAUAUUGCACAAUGGGCGAAAGCCUGAUGCAGCGACGCCGCGUGAGGGAUGACGGCCUUCGGGUUGUAAACCUCUUUCAGCAGGGAAGAAGCGAAAGUGACGGUACCUGCAGAAGAAGCGCCGGCUAACUACGUGCCAGCAGCCGCGGUAAUACGUAGGGCGCAAGCGUUGUCCGGAAUUAUUGGGCGUAAAGAGCUCGUAGGCGGCUUGUCACGUCGAUUGUGAAAGCCCGAGGYUUAACCUCGGGUCUGCAGUCGAUACGGGCUAGCUAGAGUGUGGUAGGGGAGAUCGGAAUUCCUGGUGUAGCGGUGAAAUGCGCAGAUAUCAGGAGGAACACCGGUGGCGAAGGCGGAUCUCUGGGCCAUUACUGACGCUGAGGAGCGAAAGCGUGGGGAGCGAACAGGAUUAGAUACCCUGGUAGUCCACGCCGUAAACGGUGGGAACUAGGUGUUGGCGACAUUCCACGUCGUCGGUG